AUGGCAUUACUGUUUCCUUCCUGGAAAGAACAUAUGGGGAGUUAGAUGGAGAUAAGGCCAUGCAAACUUGAGAUCCUCUUUUGAAUGGCUUCUUUUGCAAGCAGACAGAAUGGUGGAGAAUUCCUGUGCUUACAUCUUUCUUUCCAAAAUCCUGUUAGAUGGCCAACUCAGAUGCUUUUGUAAACCUGGACUAGUGCCUUCAUUUAGACUGUCUAGGCUUUAUGGCCCUAAAUGUGCCACCAACUCCUUCAUCAGCUGGUUUUCCGGGCUUCCUUGGGCAGCAGCAGCCGUGGUGUUCCAGGAGGACCCUGUCUCUGUGCCAUUGAUCACACUGCUGACGCAAAAAGGACCUAACCACUGAAUCAGCCUGAAUAUGUAUUAAGAUGACUCAGGCUGAAGAACUAUGAAUGCUGCCUUUGAAAACUGUAAUAUGAUCUUCAUCUGCCAACAUACCACAACAUUAGGAGCUUAACAUCACGCUGAAGGACACGAGAAACAAGGGUUAUAUGGAUUUAAAGAUGUUGAGUUCAUCUAGAUAGAAAAACUCCAUGCAGCUCUACAGGUUGGAGGACAAUGCAGCUUUGGAAAAAAAAAAAAGAGACCUGUGGGUCCUAGUGGACAACAAACUGAACAGGAAUCAGCAGUGUGCUCUUGCAAAAAAAGAAGGUUAAACAAAUACUGGGUUGUAUUGGUGAGAGUGGAAGCAGGUUGAGGAAAGGGAAUCUUCCCCUCUAUUGCUCUAAUCACUGCGAUAACAACUUUAUUUUAUAAAAGUCAGAAAUCAAUAAAAUGCCUUACUGACUGUUAGCAAGGAAGAUCCUUAGAGAAGUCUUACCACCAUACAGAGACAUUCAAAAAUAUCAAGCAACUACUGUCCAACUCCACAUUCACCCAUUACAAUGAAAAGAGGCUGUUGCUGAUUAUGAGCUAUGCACCUUUUUGUGGUUUUGGAGAGAUUCUCAGCUGUUCAUUAAGAGAUGGAAUUGAAGCACCUUUUUCUUUCUCCAGAAGAAUGCUGACACCAACAGAAAAAAGUAUGAAUUGAUUAAGGGCUUGCCACUCCUAAGGAUUUGCUUCAAAGACAGGCCAACAGCUUCAGUCAUAUUGCUGUGCAUGCAGUGAUGGAGCUGCUUGUAAGCAGUAAUUGAGUGUUACACUAAGUGCUUAUGAUCACACAACUUUUUGUGAGCCAGAAAAAUAGAUUGCAAAUGCCAGUGGGUGGAGAUGACAACCAUUGCAUAUGCCAGAUUGUGCUCCUCCACCUGCAGCUGAAUUCUCAGUGCUGGAAUUCCUCCCGUGCCUUUUCAAGCCAACCAUGUCAUGAAAAUGGCUGCCAACGAUUUAUCCAGAGCUUGGAAUGAGUCCUUGGCUGGAUGGGGAGGAAGAGGUUGGCCAACAGAAUAAAUGAAUAGAGUUGAAAUAAUUUUUAACCCAGCAAUUUGAUCUGUCUGCUUACGAAGAAAAACUUUUGCUUUGCUAUUCCUGCAGGAAAUCAUCAGAUUAUUUUUGUUUUAGUUACAUUAUCUGUAGCAAAUUCGGAUGUACUGCUCCUAAAAAGAUUGACCAGAUGUUACACGUGAUGCUCUGGAAUCAAUGCUAUGAUGGACACAGUUGAAUGUGUCAGCCACCAAUAAGCACAGUGUUUCCCUAGGAUAUGGUCAAGGAUCAAAUUCACUGCCCUGUCCUUUUGAAAGAAUUUCUGAGUGUCAUAGGUUUCUAUACAAAAUGGCUUGAACUGAUUUUUAUUGUUACUGUGAACAUUCAUUUCGACAGCCUCAGCUCUUUCACAGCUAUUUGCACGUCACACUUACUAAAUCUGUUGUAUUUGAUGCCAAAACUGCCUUCAAUUCUGGUAAGUUACAGUGUUUUCCCCAAAGCAACCUGGUUUGAACUGUUACUACGGCAUCAUGCCUUUUCCAGGGAAGCAGUAGGAUCAAAUGGCUCAGUCAGAGAUGUUUAAAAAGGAUUACAAUAGGCUUACUCCCCAUUAGUCAGCACACUUACUCCUAUCCAACUACUGGAGUGAGCCCAGAUGAGCUAAACUUGGGACAGGUCAAGCUAAAAACCACUUCUGUCAGUUCUUCCUGUGUUAAAAUUGUGACACAGGUAAAAAUAAGCUGUGGAAUCAUCUUCUGUCAUUUUAUUUCCUUUGUGUUUGCAGAGUAAAUCAAAUCAGAAUUGCAAGAAUCUGUGAAGCUAGACCAAGUUAAGUUGCCCUGCUCAAGCUUUUGGGAGUCUUUACUGGAGGGAGCACUUUCAAAGUGUCAAGCAAUACAUAGAAAGAUCACAGUAGAAUAGGCUUGCAGAGGAUGGGAUCAGCAGAAAGAGAAAAGCAUCGAAGAAGAUAUCUGGAAGAAGGAAGAUGAGAUUGUCAGAGCUUGGGUGACAAGCACGUGUGAACGUGAGACUAAGGUGACAGGAAGAGUAGAAGUUCAGAAACAUCACUCUCAGUGCCAGAGCUGCCAUCAGUCUGAUGAACAAUACCAGGUUGGAUGUGGAUCUCUACUGAGGCUCGAGAGUGCUGCAUGGCAUACUCUGGGGUCCUGGUGAUCAUUCAGGUCUGCUGAUCAUUCAGAGCUGGCUGCAGCAUGCUGGACAUCCAUUCUGUUCCUCUUCUUUCUCUAAGAGUAAAGGUGUUGAGAAGUAGCUGGUAUUCAUCUGGAUUUUAUUGUCAUAUGGACCAAGAUAUUAAAUGUUUUUUUUUUUUUUGAAGCACUGCCAGGACCAAUUAUUUAUAUAUAGCUAGUGAAGAGAUAAAAAUGAGCUACAGAUUGACUUUGAUAAGGUAAAAUUAUUCUCAUGGUAUAGGAUAUAUUCCAGUACCACAAUGCAGGAAAAUAGCCCCAAGCAAUGAGUCCUGGAAACUACAGUUUCAUUCAGUCAGCCCAAUGCUGCCAUCUCCAAACCAGCAACUUAAGGAAGCUGUGUAAGGAAACCACUUUCUCACACUGUCCAAUUUAGUGAGUAGCAUCAGAGGGGUUGGGGAACAAUCUUGUGCUGACUUUACCCUGCCACCAGUGCUACUCAUAGGUCAGGUACUCCUAUUAUAUAUUAUAAAAUCAUAAA
Long non-coding RNA from Pipra filicauda (Wire-tailed manakin), 3066 nucleotides. RefSeq lists it as uncharacterized. The transcript is spliced from 7 exons. NCBI's taxonomy places the organism in Eukaryota, Metazoa, Chordata, Aves, Passeriformes, Pipridae. The record is from RefSeq and is a predicted model, not a curated record.